Molecule: non-coding RNA, 1869 nt
Organism: Arvicanthis niloticus (Nile rat)
Lineage: Eukaryota; Metazoa; Chordata; Mammalia; Rodentia; Muridae
Source: RefSeq, a predicted model, not a curated record
UGCGCGCGCCCGUGAGGACAAGUGGGAAGGGGGCCCCAGCUCAGGACAGGGAGGCCCUCUUUGCAGGUCUCGGGGUCCAGGUGGCGACACGAGCGCUCGGUCUGCCGGCAGCGGGCGGGUGGUGCCCCAGCCCCUCCCCCGCGCGUGCGCGCCCGGGUCCGCCCUCCCCGCAGCUUUGGAUCCCGCGCGGCGACGGCGGUUCCUUCCCCCUCCCCCAGCCCUGGCUCCGGGGGACCCCGCGAUGCCGGUCUGCACCGAGUGUCCCCCGCCGGCGGGUGCCUCAGCCACAUCCGCGGCCUCACUCAUCCCGCCGCCGCCCAUCAACACCCAGCAGCCCGGCGUGGCCACCAGCUUGCUCUACAGCGGCUCCAAGUUCCGUGGCCACCAGAAGAGCAAGGGGAACUCGUACGACGUAGAGGUGGUGCUGCAGCACGUGGACACUGGGAACUCUUACCUUUGUGGGUACCUGAAGAUUAAAGGCCUUACAGAGGAAUAUCCGACCCUUACAACCUUCUUUGAAGGAGAAAUAAUAAGCAAAAAACACCCUUUCUUAACUCGGAAGUGGGACGCAGAUGAAGACGUGGAUCGGAAACACUGGGGCAACUUUCUGGCUUUUUAUCAGUAUGCAAAAUCAUUUAAUUCAGAUGACUUUGAUUAUGAAGAACUGAAAAAUGGGGAUUAUGUCUUCAUGAGGUGGAAGGAGCAGUUCCUAGUCCCGGAUCACACAAUCAAAGACAUCAGCGGUGCUUCCUUUGCUGGCUUCUACUACAUCUGCUUUCAGAAGUCAGCAGCCUCCAUAGAGGGCUACUACUACCAUCGGAGUUCAGAAUGGUAUCAGUCCCUCAACCUGACCCAUGUUCCUGAACACAGUGCACCCAUCUACGAGUUCCGGUGACAAUGGUUCAGAACAGUGGCCAAAUAAAACUGAACUUGGCAACAAAGAGCUUUGCCGAGGAAAUUAUGUACCUGCCAGAACCAGGAGAGGUGUGUUCCUGUUUCUUCAUGAGCAGACUUCAUCAGAAAGCAUGAAUGUUAACCUACAGGAUCCAAGGAGCAUGGCCAACCUGCAGGCAGGCAGAGGGAGCUGUCCACCUCCCACCCUCCUUACUCUCAGUGGCAUUGUGGUCACCAUCUGUUUCUGAGCAAUCUUAAAUGCACUUUCCUUCCUGCACAGCUAACUUCUGUAUCACUAAAAUGCCAUCUUUCCUUGGCCUGCCUCUAGCCAAGUGGAAGGUCAGCUCCUGGGUCACCUUAGCCUUGGUGCUCAGUGGUCUCCACCCAGGCCCUACUCCUUCCCCAGUUGCUGGUUUGGUAGCCCAAGGAAAGGCAGAGCCCAGCAUCUUGUGCCCCAGAGCUCUAUGUGAGGAGUUGUCUGGGCCCAGCAUCUACCACCAAUGAGAUGAGAUGGGGACCCUGGUGGGCCUCAUCGACCUUUGAUUCCAUUUGAUGUCUUGUGGGGCCCUGUGUGUUAACAGUACAAGACUAGCACAUGGUUGGGUUUUCUGGGCCUGCUGUUGGGGAUCACUAAAUUUAAGGCUUCCAGAUCCCUGGUGGGAGUAGAUCCCAAACUGCUUUCUCAGUACAUUUGCUCCAAACUUCUGAACUUGAGGGCAAUACUAAAAUAAAAGAGUUUUCUAUUACAAAAUUAUUAUUUUUAUGAUACCUUUAACAAGGACCCUAUGGCAAAUGCACAAUUAUUCCGAAUUACAUUUUAUCGUUUUCACAUUGAAAACAGCAAAUGUUGACUUAGUGAUUUUUAUAUCUAUGUCUAUAUGUAUAUUUAAUCAACCAGCAGUUUUAAAAUAAGUCAUCCUGGUACAAAAGUUUUCAGCAUUGCUUAAAUUACAGUGCUAAACACAAGAACUGUUU